GGGUCAGUAGGUUGGUCGUGUCACCGGUACGUACUGGUCUCACUGAUUCCUCCUUCCUGAAGAACCGUAAUGCCAUUAAUUUGGUGUUGCGGGGAAACAGGACUGUUACUUUGAAAAAAUUAGAGCGUUUAAAGCAAGCUAACGCUUGAAUACAUUAGCAUGGAAUAAUGAAAUAGGACGAUCGAUCCUAUUUUGUUGGUUUCUAGGAUUGACGUA
This 216-nucleotide ribosomal RNA is filed under the name Glomeromycotina sp. RNAcentral's name for it is "partial small subunit ribosomal RNA". The stretch from base 40 to 216 matches the Rfam family "Eukaryotic small subunit ribosomal RNA", at positions 686 to 864 of the family's 1831-position model. Lineage: Eukaryota; Fungi; Glomeromycota. The record is from RNAcentral.